GAUGAAGAACGCAGCGAAAUGCGAUAAGUAGUGUGAAUUGCAGAAUUCAGUGAAUCAUCGAAUCUUUGAACGCACAUUGCGCCCUUUGGUAUUCCAAAGGGCAUGCCUGUUCGAGCGUCAUUUGUACCCUCAAGCUUUGCUUGGUGUUGGGCGUCUUGUCUCUAGCUUUGCUGGAGACUCGCCUUAAAGUAAUUGGCAGCCGGCCUACUGGUUUCGGAGCGCAGCACAAGUCGCACUCUCUAUCAGCAAAGGUCUAGCAUCCAUUAAGCCUCUUUUUCAACUUUUGACCUCGGAUCAGGUAGGGAUACCCGCUGAACUUAAGCAUAUCAAUAAGCGGAGGA
RNAcentral lists this unclassified non-coding RNA (341 nucleotides) under soil metagenome. Its description in RNAcentral is "partial contains 5.8S ribosomal RNA, internal transcribed spacer 2, and large subunit ribosomal RNA". The stretch from base 1 to 120 matches the Rfam family "5.8S ribosomal RNA", at positions 35 to 154 of the family's 154-position model. The record is from RNAcentral.